UCCUCUUCUCUCCUCUCUUCUCCUCUCCUCUUCUCUCCACUCCUUCUCCCGUUACUCUCUCGCGCGCGUGUGGCUCUGCAAAAACAAGCAUACGGAGAUCCCCAGUAGUAGCAGCCCGGUACGCAGAGCAGACGAGAACGUCAAACCGGUCGGCACUCGCGUACAGGUACUUCAUCAAGACUAAAUCGGAUCUAUCUAUGUUGGAAAUCGUGUUUCGUCUUUCUACGUUUUCGACGUCAUCCUUAAAGACUACGUCAUUGAACGCAGCAACGACCACCUUCGCAAAAGAGAGAGGGAGAGAGAGAGGGAGAGCGACAUUGAUUUGAAAGAAUGACGUUGAGUAGAAAUCGAUCGAGCGAUUUCUAGGGAAAGAGUUUAAAGUGAUUCGAUGAGAGUGAAUUCCACAUGUCGAAAGUUCUUCAGUGCUUUUCUGCGAUAAAGUGUUACCGUUCAAUAUUUAUAUAACAAAUCAGUGUGUAAUCUAUAUAUCUGAAACAAAUCGACGAAAAAAGAAAGAAAGAAGUUUAAAGGGAACGUAGUCUGUUUAAAAAAAUCAAUAUAUAAAAAUAAAUAAAUAAAUAAAUAAAUAAAUA
Long non-coding RNA from Vespula pensylvanica (western yellowjacket), 593 nucleotides. RefSeq lists it as uncharacterized. The transcript has 3 exons. NCBI's taxonomy places the organism in Eukaryota, Metazoa, Arthropoda, Insecta, Hymenoptera, Vespidae. The record is from RefSeq and is a predicted model, not a curated record.